RNAcentral lists this ribosomal RNA (327 nucleotides) under uncultured eukaryote. Its description in RNAcentral is "partial 18S ribosomal RNA". It matches the Rfam family "Eukaryotic small subunit ribosomal RNA", at positions 1470 to 1796 of the family's 1831-position model. The record is from RNAcentral.
CCCCUAGAUGUUCUGGGCCGCACGCGCGCUACACUGAUUCAUGCAACAAGUUUUGUCCUUGGCUGAUAGGCCUGGGUAAUCUUUGAACGUGAAUCGUGAUGGGGAUAGAUGAUUGCAAUUAUUCAUCUUCAACGGGGAAUUCCUAGUAAACGCAAGUCAUCAGCUUGCAUUGAUUACGUCCCUGCCCUUUGUACACACCGCCCGUCGCACCUACCGAUUGAAUGGUCCGGUGAAAUCUUCGGAUCUGAGAGAUGUCUGAUUAAUUUCGGACGCCUUUUGGAAAAGUUGUUUAAACCUUACCAUUUAGAGGAAGGUGAAGUCGUAACA